GUCCACGCCGUAAACGAUGAAUGCUAGGUGUCGGGAGUCGAAUCUCGGUGCCGCAGUUAACGCAAUAAGCAUUCCACCUGGGGAGUACGAUCGCAAGAUUGAAACUCAAAGGAAUUGACGGGGGCCCGCACAAGCGGUGGAGCAUGUGGUUUAAUUCGAAGCAACGCGAAGAACCUUACCAAAUCUUGACAUCCCUUUGACCGGUCUUUAACAGGACCUUCUCUUCGGAGCAAAGGUGACAGGUGGUGCAUGGUUGUCGU
This 260-nucleotide ribosomal RNA is filed under the name uncultured bacterium. Its description in RNAcentral is "partial 16S ribosomal RNA". It matches the Rfam family "Bacterial small subunit ribosomal RNA", at positions 793 to 1055 of the family's 1533-position model. The record is from RNAcentral.